GUGGAGCGGGAGCGCCAUUUUUCUAAAAUCGGCUACUAGCUAGUUAACGUUAUGUGUUAAUAGUUACAAUCUGGAUAGCGUACAUCCUUUGUCUCGGCGAGACUGCGACCCAUCAACGUUUGGAGAGUUUUGCUUUGUGACUACUGGGAUCCAUUAAAAAAGAAUGACCAGCCUAAAUGGUGAAAACCAUCAGGACUACAUCUCCAACAAUGCCACUCACCUGCAAGACCUGAUGUGUCUGUCGACCGCGCUGGGGAAUGUUUCUGUUCAGACGGUCCAUAUCCACCGCGUUGUCAAUCACUCCGUCAGAAGCAUGGAAAUCCUGCAGGAAUACAGGUACAGACCCUGACUUUCAUCACCAAAACAACAAACUGAACAGAAUAUAACUGAACAAGAUCCAACAAAAGACAACAAGAAAUACCCAGCACACUGCCUCCAAUGAAACCAAAAUAAAGACUCGCACUUAUGCGUCUGUCUGGCCUGGAGGAAGGUUUAUCAUCCCCAUCGGUAAUUUCCGCUGGUGAGUCAUGCUGAUGGUGAUUCAGCUCACCCCACACGCGUGCGAGAAUCACAACCUCCAAACAAUCAGAGCUGGUCCUCCCUGGAGGCUCCACUGAGACAACACUCACGCUAUGACCCUCUCUCCGUCUCACAAUCAUCCUCACAUCAUCACAGUGCUGUCUGGCUCUCCCAAAAAAAUCCCCGUCCCAAAUUCCAGCCCCACUGUUCAGACGUUUCUCACUUCAGGAUUUGACUAAACAAACACGUUAGGCUGUGCACCUUUAUUUGGAAUGUAUAUGACAUUCCCAAAAAAGCGUAUCAUAUA
Conger conger (European conger) is the source of this 826-nucleotide long non-coding RNA. RefSeq lists it as uncharacterized. Lineage: Eukaryota; Metazoa; Chordata; Actinopteri; Anguilliformes; Congridae. The transcript has 3 exons. The record is from RefSeq and is a predicted model, not a curated record.